RNAcentral lists this microRNA (16 nucleotides) under Macrophomina phaseolina MS6. Its description in RNAcentral is "miR-4279". Lineage: Eukaryota; Fungi; Ascomycota; Dothideomycetes; Botryosphaeriales; Botryosphaeriaceae. The record is from RNAcentral.
CUAUCCUCCCUGCUUC